UAGGGAAUCUUCCACAAUGGACGCAAGUCUGAUGGAGCAACGGCCGCGUGAGUGAAGAAGGUUUUCGGAUCGUAAAGCUCUGUUGUAAGUCAAGAACGGGUGUGAGAGUGGAAAGUUCACACUGUGACGGUAGCUUACCAGAAAGGGACGGCUAACUACGUGCCAGCAGCCGCGGUAAUACGUAGGUCCCGAGCGUUGUCCGGAUUUAUUGGGCGUAAAGCGAGCGCAGGCGGUUUGAUAAGUCUGAAGUUAAAGGCUGUGGCUCAACCAUAGUUCGCUUUGGAAACUGUCAAACUUGAGUGCAGAAGGGGAGAGUGGAAUUCCAUGUGUAGCGGUGAAAUGCGUAGAUAUAUGGAGGAACACCGGUGCGAAAAGCGGCUCUCUGGUCUGUAACUGACGCUGAGGCUCGAAAGCGUGGGGAGCGAACAGGAUUAGAUACCCUGGUAGUCCACGCCGUAAACGAUGAGUGCUAGGUGUUGGAUCCUUUCCGGGAUUCAGUGCCGCAGCUAACGCAUUAAGCACUCCGCCUGGGGGAGUACGACCGCAAGGUUGAAACUCUAAAGUGAAUUGAC
RNAcentral lists this ribosomal RNA (572 nucleotides) under uncultured bacterium. RNAcentral's name for it is "partial 16S ribosomal RNA". It matches the Rfam family "Bacterial small subunit ribosomal RNA", at positions 355 to 914 of the family's 1533-position model. The record is from RNAcentral.